GUUUGUCUUCACACACUUAUACUGAAAGAAAACAACUUGAUAGUUGUUUUCUUUCAGUAUAAGUGUGUGAAAUUACAG
This 78-nucleotide microRNA precursor is filed under the name Stegodyphus mimosarum. RNAcentral describes it as "microRNA mir-iab-4". The record is from RNAcentral. Lineage: Eukaryota; Metazoa; Arthropoda; Arachnida; Araneae; Eresidae.